UAACCUGCCCAAGAGAUCGGGAUAACACCUGAAACAGAUGCUAAUACCGGAUAACAACAGAUGAUGCCUAUCAACUGUUUAAAAGAUGGUUCUGCUAUCACUCUUGGAUGGACCUGCGGUGCAUUAGCUAGUUGGUAGGGUAACGGCCUACCAAGGCGAUGAUGCAUAGCCGAGUUGAGAGACUGAUCGGCCACAUUGGGACUGAGACACGGCCCAAACUCCUACGGGAGGCAGCAGAC
RNAcentral lists this ribosomal RNA (239 nucleotides) under uncultured Lactobacillus sp. RNAcentral's name for it is "partial 16S ribosomal RNA". It matches the Rfam family "Bacterial small subunit ribosomal RNA", at positions 122 to 354 of the family's 1533-position model. Lineage: Bacteria; Bacillati; Bacillota; Bacilli; Lactobacillales; Lactobacillaceae. The record is from RNAcentral.